Non-coding RNA from Acanthosepion pharaonis, 101 nucleotides. The record is from the annotation of a GenBank genome assembly. Lineage: Eukaryota; Metazoa; Mollusca; Cephalopoda; Sepiida; Sepiidae.
CACAUCACAUUGAAAUACUAAUUCCCGUAUGAUUAGCGAAGUUAAGCAACGUCGAGCCUGGUCAGUACCUAGAUAAGUGACCACUUGGGAAUACAAGGUGU